RNAcentral lists this ribosomal RNA (458 nucleotides) under uncultured bacterium. RNAcentral's name for it is "partial 16S ribosomal RNA". It matches the Rfam family "Bacterial small subunit ribosomal RNA", at positions 338 to 795 of the family's 1533-position model. The record is from RNAcentral.
CCUACGGGAGGCAGCAGUGAGGAAUAUUGGUCAAUGGGCGAGAGCCUGAACCAGCCAAGUCGCGUGAGGGAGUACUGCCCUAUGGGUUGUAAACCUCUUUUGUCGGGGAGCAAAAGCCGGACGUGUCCGGCUGUGAGAGUACCCGAAGAAAAAGCAUCGGCUAACUCCGUGCCAGCAGCCGCGGUAAUACGGAGGAUGCGAGCGUUAUCCGGAUUUAUUGGGUUUAAAGGGUGCGCAGGCGGAUUUUUAAGUCAGCGGUAAAAUCGUGGGGCUCAACCCCAUCCAGCCGUUGAAACUGGGGAUCUAGAGUGUGCGAGAGGUAUGCGGAAUGCGUGGUGUAGCGGUGAAAUGCAUAGAUAUCACGCAGAACCCCGAUUGCGAAGGCAGCAUACCGGUGCACAACUGACGGUCAGGCACGAAAGCGUGGGUAUCGAACAGGAUUAGAUACCCCUGUAGUC